AGCAGCCGCGGUAAUUCCAGCUCCAAUAGCGUAUAUUAAAGUUGUUGCAGUUAAAAAGCUCGUAGUUGAAUUUCGGGAUCAGUGGGUCGGUCGUGCCACUGGUAUGCACUGGCUCUACUGGUUCCUCCUUCUUGAAGAACUGUAAUGCCAUUAAUUUGGUGUUGCAGGGAAACAGGACUGUUACUUUGAAAAAAUUAGAGUGUUUAAAGCAGGCAAUCGCUUGAAUACAUUAGCAUGGAAUAAUGAAAUAGGACGUUCGAUCCUAUUUUGUUGGUUUCUAGGAUUGACGUAAUGAUUAAUAGGGAUAGUUGGGGGCAUUAGUAUUCAAUUGUCAGAGGUGAAAUUCUUGGAUUUAUUGAAGACUAACUACUGCGAAAGCAUUUGCCAAGGAUGUUUUCAUUAAUCAAGAACGAAAGUUAGGGGAUCGAAGACGAUCAGAUACCGUCGUAG
This 450-nucleotide ribosomal RNA is filed under the name uncultured Glomeromycotina. Its description in RNAcentral is "SSU rRNA". It matches the Rfam family "Eukaryotic small subunit ribosomal RNA", at positions 569 to 1023 of the family's 1831-position model. The record is from RNAcentral. Lineage: Eukaryota; Fungi; Glomeromycota.